GAUGAACGCUGGCGGCGUGCCUAAUACAUGCAAGUCGAACGCAUAGCGAAAGGUGCUUGCACCUUUCAAGUGAGUGGCGAACGGGUGAGUAACACGUGGACAACCUGCCUCAAGGCUGGGGAUAACAUUUGGAAACAGAUGCUAAUACCGAAUAAAGCUUAGUGUCGCAUGACACAAAGUUAAAAGGCGCUUCGGCGUCACCUAGAGAUGGAUCCGCGGUGCAUUAGUUAGUUGGUGGGGUAAAGGCCUACCAAGACAAUGAUGCAUAGCCGAGUUGAGAGACUGAUCGGCCACAUUGGGGCUGAGACACGGCCCAAACUCCUACGGGAGGCUGCAGUAGGGAAUCUUCCACAAUGGGCGAAAGCCUGAUGGAGCAACGCCGCGUGUGUGAUGAAGGCUUUCGGGUCGUAAAGCACUGUUGUAUGGGAAGAACAGCUAGAAUAGGAAAUGAUUUUAGUUUGACGGUACCAUACCAGAAAGGGACGGCUAAAUACGUG
RNAcentral lists this ribosomal RNA (497 nucleotides) under uncultured bacterium. RNAcentral's name for it is "partial 16S ribosomal RNA". It matches the Rfam family "Bacterial small subunit ribosomal RNA", at positions 28 to 507 of the family's 1533-position model. The record is from RNAcentral.